Molecule: small RNA, 2697 nt
Filed under: Pan troglodytes (chimpanzee)
Lineage: Eukaryota; Metazoa; Chordata; Mammalia; Primates; Hominidae
Description: sense intronic
Source: RNAcentral
ACACCGUGAAUGCGGGAUGGAGAAGCAGUAUCCCCCGCAGCGGGCUCCUUUUGGGGCUGUGAUGUUUUAUAGCCUGGCAAGGGAAUGCCAAGACUCCCUGAGGGUCUGGCUCACUUUAUCAGGGUCCCGCUGCUUGAGAGCAGGAGCCUGGGAGGCGAGGUGUGUAGACGCCCCAGCCGGGGCCCCUCGAGGCUGCAGUCGGGCUGAGGCAUUCAUUCCUCCGCAGGGGCCCCGGGGCGGGAGCAGCGGGAGCAUGGCCAUGUCGGCUGCAUGCUUUCUCCUGCUGCCUGGCUCUCUCUGUUCCCCUCCUGAACCCCUUCUGCCUCUCCUGCGUUCCCCUUCCUCACUCCCCUCCUUCACCUUCAGAGCCAGCGGACUUCUCCAGGCUGCACGCAGGCGAGGGGCUGGCAAUUGCAGGUCAAGCAGGCUCAGCUCGGAGCAGCGGGAGGAAAGAUUUACGGUUCCUCCCUGCCCUGCUUGAUGGACAAUUAAAGCCGUGCACGGUUGGAGGAGAGCAGUGUCGUGAAGAGUCAGGAUGGUCAGAAUAAAUCAGUCACCUCCACUUAGACGGCUGAGCUAGACUGCUUCCCUGGGCCUUCGAGGUGGGAGCCCCCUGGGGUGUGGAUUUGAAGGUUCCUGAAUGGACUGUUCAAGGGUUUGACAUACUCUGAGCUCCAUCAGAGUCAGAGCCUGAAGACCCCGGGGGUCUCCUCACAAAUGGGGCAUGUGCUGUAGGGAAUUAAGGGAAAAUUCUGGAUAAUGUGUUUAGAGGGCGUUUUGUCUCCAUGGUACCUGGCAUCUGCAAGAGCCUCAAACCUGAAUGUUUGGAAGUCAGGAUAGUGGACCCCCACCUGCAAGCAGAGCGUGUGCACACAUGUGCUUGUGCACAUGUAUGUGUGCACAGGUGCGUGCAUAUCAGUGCACACAUGUGCACAUGUGUAGAUUGUACAUGCAUGUGCCUGUGGGUAGAGUGUGCACGCAGGCAUGCAUGUGCAUCCUGUAUGUGUGCAUGUGUGUGCAUGUAUGUGAACGUGCACAAGUGUGUUUCUGCAUUGGUGUGUGUACCCACAUGUACCUGUGUGUGUGCAUGAGCAUAUGUGUGUCGUACAUGUGUGAGCACAUGUGUGUGUCAUGUAUGGGUACUGGGGCUUGCCUCUUGGACAUCGCAGGCUCCACUUGUGUCUUUAAACACACACGCCCCUCUGCAAGGCUGCCGGGAGCUGGGCUUCUGAGCAUCCGCCAAGCCCUGCGGCCGUCCUUCUUCAUUUGUUCUGUGUGUUAUUUCAGUACCUUGAAGACUCUGGCAAUUUCCUCAAGGAAACUUUGUCUUUGUGGAAACGAGAUGCCAGCACUCCUCGGCCCUCCCACUGGCUAAUUGAUGAUAUGAUCCCGCGUGGGAGACUUGCCAUUCCUGGAAACGCUCUUUAUUUCCUGGGCCCCCCCGGCCCCCUGCCUGCCAUCGUCUGAUUUCUACGAGCUGCUGCACGUGAGGUGCAGGGCCAGGCAUUUGCUGUGACUCAGCCCAUGUGCCAGGCCUUUCAUUAACUUGGAUACUACAAUUAUGAGUGCCAAGAGACUGCGAGGGCCAUUUAGGAUUUUUCUCCCUUUAAGAAAAUAUUCCUUUUUCCCCAGCCAGGUAGCCCAGCCCUUUGCCUCUGCAGCUGUGGCCCAAGCACUCCUCAGCUCUCCCGGCACCAACCUGCAACAAACUCUUGUUGGGGGGCUGCGGCUCCUCCAUGGUUCUGUCGGAGGUGCUCAGCGGGUGGUCAAGGCAGCCUGACCUUGGGAGCCGCAGGACGUGGCCUGCUGCGGCGGCUUCACGGUCACAGCACGAAUAGCAGCAUGCGUGCUUUUGUGCCUGUGUGAGCACAUGCACACCCCAUCGGCACACGCGAGGAUGACCUUUGGCACAGAACACCUGCUGCUGUGGCCUGCACAGAGAAGGGCUGACCCCAGGACAGCGGCUCCCAUUCGCCUCCACCAAGGCCAGCUGGACUCUUCAAGGGACCCUGAGGAUCUCCGAGUGUGGGCAGUCGGGUCGUGUCAUGCGGGGGUGGAGUUGCAUGGGUCUCCUGUGCACCUACACACGCGUGCUGGCCAGCAUAUUAGUAUGUUCGCAGGGGUAGCCUGACCCUCUUCCCCCACUUAGGAGAUGCGUGCAUGGAAACUUGCCCCCGUGGGUGUCUUGGGAUGAAUAUUUGGGAUCCUGGUGGAUCUGGAUUGCAGAGUAGCUGGGCACUGUAAGAGUUCCUGUAAAUGUUGGGUCUCCUGGGGAGGGGGAGGCAUGGAGCACUUCUCACUUCUGUUGGUGGGUGGAAGGUUGGGGAGGGGCCACACUGGCUCAAGGUCAUCCCACAGGGAGCAACCUAAUCUGAGGACAGACCUGCCUGGGACUCUGUGGAACUGAGAUGAGACACUUGCUUCCCCCUUCAAAGGUCAUGAGAUUCUGGGUACACGGGCUGCCUUCCAUACGGUACCCACAAAGCUCAUUAAAAGCACCAUUCAGAGGCCUUGUUAUCUCAAAACGGAAGGCAAGAGUCCAACCCACUAAGCACCAAAUAACAACUCAACAACUCAAAAACUUAUUUUUUUAAACUUCCUGGAGUUGCCAUGGUUACUUGCACGGUCACUGCGUCUCUGUUGCUCUACGUGGAGCUUCUUGGAGGAGGAAUUAAAGCCUCCAAGGUUCACCCCUUG